Molecule: long non-coding RNA, 1372 nt
Organism: Centrocercus urophasianus (Greater sage-grouse)
Lineage: Eukaryota; Metazoa; Chordata; Aves; Galliformes; Phasianidae
Exons: 8
Source: RefSeq, a predicted model, not a curated record
AGUGUUUCAGAAGAGAGAAAAGCACGGCGGGCAUCAACUGGAUUUCUGUGGUUGGUGAAGCUGUGCUGAGAAGUGGGCUGACUGCUGCCCCUGGAAAUGAGUCUGCAGACUUUGCACCCAGAGGAAUGACUUUUCCCUGCAGAUUGGGCUUGUCUAAGGUGAUUUUUUCAUGAGGAAAGAUUUGAAAUGCUGUUUGCUAAUGGAAGAUGGAGAGAAGAAAAUCAAGUGAAAGGCACGCUGUGCAUAGCCAGCACGUAGCAUCUGCACCACUCUCCCCCUGCACAAAGGAGGAGCAGCUCAGCAAGCUUGGCCUGGGCCAUGGAAGGCAGCAUACAAACAUCUGGACCAACUCCAACGGAGCUGCUUCUGCAGGAAUCCAAGUGGGUUUUUUAAUGAAGAACAAACUCGUGCAGCUUGUGAGUGAAUUCAUUCACGCAUGUUAAUCGUUGUUCUUCUCUACGUGGAGCUGCAAUUGAAAUGGAUGCUUGUGGUCUGAUGUGCAGCCCCCUCUGACAUGCUCAGCUGAGCCAAGUUUGCAAAACCUGGCUCUCGGUUGUAAGGCAUGUUGUUAUAAAGCACCAUCGUAGGGGCAACCUUGAUUUCUGUAGCCACCUGAGCUCUCCCCCAUGCUCCUCCCUGUGAUGUGAGACCGUAUUGGAGGCCAUGCAGAAGCCUGGUUCUUGAAAAGUUACCUUUGGAUUCUAAAUUACCAUUUAUUACUGAAUACACGUGCACCCCGCGCUUUUCAUCUGUGCAAAGAAUCUUGUAAACGUCUGUGUGUGUGUUUCUUCUUGGCACUGAGAUGAAGCUGUGUGGAACACAGGCUUGGAUGACUUUUCCAUCAGAUGCAGGGACGUGUAAUGCUCAUCUUAGAUGUCGUGCUGACAAGAAGAGCAGAGAGUCAUAACCAUGGAACCACAGAAGCGUUACCCAGACAGAAGGAGCCUUUGUCACCUGGACUUCCUACCAGUGACACAGGCAGUGGAAGUCAGCAUCCCAAGCAUCCAUGAAACCCCUGCAGAGGACUGGAAGAAAAGCUUGAUGUCUGUGCCAAGGGAGACGUACACCGCACUUGCGCUGCCUGGACGAAGUGGAAACUGGAAAUUGUGGGGUGUGCUGAAGCAUGCCCUCUCAGGCGACAUCUGCACUCUGCUCAGUCCAAGGAGAAUCCCUGCCCGCAGAUGCAAUGACACAGCAUGGCUCACCACCUCAUUUUUCAUUGCUUACUGUUAUGGUAGGUGCCAUCCAUGUCCACCCUGCGUAUUCUUAGAGCUUUUCUGGAGUCCAUGGGGCAGACUUAUGGUUGAACUAAAGGGAAUUUUUUCAUAAUGCUCUAGCUCCAGAUGAUUAUCCCUAGUAUCAUUAUAUUUAA